RNAcentral lists this ribosomal RNA (371 nucleotides) under uncultured organism. Its description in RNAcentral is "bacterial SSU rRNA". It matches the Rfam family "Bacterial small subunit ribosomal RNA", at positions 526 to 896 of the family's 1533-position model. The record is from RNAcentral.
CGUAGGGGGCGAGCGUUGUCCGGAUUUACUGGGCGUAAAGCGCGCGCAGGCGGUCCGUUAAGUCCGUUGUGAAAGCUCCCGGCUCAACUGGGAGAGGUCUUCGGAAACUGGCGGACUCGAGGGAGGCAGAGGAAGGUGGAAUUCCCGGUGUAGUGGUGAAAUGCGUAGAGAUCGGGAGGAACACCAGUGGCGAAGGCGGCCUUCUGGGCCUUUCCUGACGCUGAGGCGCGAAAGCGUGGGGAGCGAACCGGAUUAGAUACCCGGGUAGUCCACGCUGUAAACGAUGCUCACUAGAUGGGGGGGGUAUCGACCCCUCCGCGUCGAAGCUAACGCGAUAAGUGAGCCGCCUGGGGACUACGGCCGCAAGGCUA